Molecule: small nuclear RNA, 107 nt
Organism: Zalophus californianus (California sea lion)
Lineage: Eukaryota; Metazoa; Chordata; Mammalia; Carnivora; Otariidae
Source: Ensembl
GUGCUUGUUUUGGCAGCACAUAUACUAAAAUUGAAAUGAUACAGAGAAGAUUAGCAUGGCUCCUGUGUAAGGAUGACACGCAAAUUUAUAAAGUGUUUCAUAUUAAA